GCCCUAAUGGUGUAACGGCAGCAUGCUGAUCUUGUGAAAUCAGUGGUGCCGGUUCGACUCCGACUUAGGGCU
Molecule: transfer RNA, 72 nt
Filed under: Acidimicrobiaceae bacterium
Lineage: Bacteria; Bacillati; Actinomycetota; Acidimicrobiia; Acidimicrobiales; Acidimicrobiaceae
Also listed under: 1 other name
Description: tRNA-Thr
Rfam family: tRNA
About the family: Transfer RNA (tRNA) molecules are approximately 80 nucleotides in length. Their secondary structure includes four short double-helical elements and three loops (D, anti-codon, and T loops).
Source: RNAcentral